CCUCUGCCCCUCUCUCUCAACACCAUCGCCGACAACCUUCAUCAGUCAUUCAACUGGAGCGACGGUCGACGGAUUUGAAGGAUUUCCACUCUACGAUGGUAGUGCUUGAAAGUAAGAAAAAGGAAGUUGAGAAGUAUGAUGUUGUUGUCAAAGAAACAAGCAAGCCAAGCCAAUCAACAACUCAAGGAACUUCAUAAAGACUAUUGAAGAACUGGUGCAGUUACUCUAGCAAAGGGUGAAGAUGGACUUAAAGAAUGAUGUUUUAUGCCGAUGGAUGUUGGUGCGGCACUGAAUAAUGACUUUUAACUCUUUUUAAAGGUGAAGAUGUACUUAAAGAAUGAUGUUUUAUGCCGAUGGAUGCUGGUGCGGAACUGAAUAAUGGCUUCUACCACUUUUUAAAGCAGUUACAGUCCAAUUGUAGCACGAAGAGGGGUUCCUCCACCAUGCCAGCUGUCAUGACUCCAGGGGGAGCUUUGGAUCUUUCUGCUUAUACUAGACAAAAAUGGGAAUGUAACGAGUAAAACAACAAAUGUAGUCUACAAGGAAGUUUUUUCCGGCAUUUGAAUAGUUUUAUGUUUUUUUUCUUCUAA
Long non-coding RNA from Helianthus annuus (common sunflower), 590 nucleotides. RefSeq lists it as uncharacterized. The record is from RefSeq and is a predicted model, not a curated record. The transcript is spliced from 5 exons. NCBI's taxonomy places the organism in Eukaryota, Viridiplantae, Streptophyta, Magnoliopsida, Asterales, Asteraceae.